AAAGCACUUUCAGUCGUGAGGAAGGUAGUGUAGUUAAUAGCUGCAUUAUUUGACGUUAGCGACAGAAGAAGCACCGGCUAACUCCGUGCCAGCAGCCGCGGUAAUACGGAGGGUGCGAGCGUUAAUCGGAAUUACUGGGCGUAAAGCGCAUGCAGGUGGUUUGUUUAAGUCAGAUGUGAAAGACCCGGGGCGUCAACCUCGGAAUUGCAUUUGUAAACUAGGCAGACUAGAGUACUGUAGAGGGGGGUAGGAAUUUCAGGUGUAGCGGUGAAAUGCGUAGAGAUCUGAAGGAAUACCGGUGGCGAAGGCGGCCCCCUCGGACAGAUACUGACACUCAGAUGCGAAAGCGUGGGGAGCAAACAGGAUUAGAUACCCUGGUAG
RNAcentral lists this ribosomal RNA (381 nucleotides) under uncultured bacterium. RNAcentral's name for it is "bacterial SSU rRNA". It matches the Rfam family "Bacterial small subunit ribosomal RNA", at positions 427 to 793 of the family's 1533-position model. The record is from RNAcentral.